This 400-nucleotide unclassified non-coding RNA is filed under the name uncultured fungus. RNAcentral describes it as "sequence contains ITS1". The stretch from base 1 to 105 matches the Rfam family "5.8S ribosomal RNA", at positions 50 to 154 of the family's 154-position model. The record is from RNAcentral. Lineage: Eukaryota; Fungi.
GAAAUGCGAUACGUAGUGUGAAUUGCAGAAUUCCGUGAACCAUCGAAUCUUUGAACGCACAUUGCGCUCGAGGCUUCGGCCGAGAGCAUGUCUGCCUCAGCGUCGGCCCAUCCCCUCACAACCCCCCUUCAGCUUUUAAAUGUAAGCUUGAAGGGCCGGCUGUGGAGCUGGCCGUGUCGGCUGCUGCCCUCCCCUCCAAGGGAGGGGUUUGCGGCCGAGUCGGCUGAAGCCCAGAGGCCUGAGCAAGAGCCCAUUCAACCGGGCAUCAACAUGGUGGGUGGCCCCUUGGGGCUGCAUUGCCGUUGAUGACCGGGGGACUUGCUGGGGGCCUGCAGGAACACCGGCCCUUUCAACUGCCGGUGCCGACCAUCCUUUCGACCUGAGAUCAGGCAAGAACACC